This 269-nucleotide ribosomal RNA is filed under the name uncultured bacterium. RNAcentral describes it as "partial 16S ribosomal RNA". It matches the Rfam family "Bacterial small subunit ribosomal RNA", at positions 29 to 289 of the family's 1533-position model. The record is from RNAcentral.
AUGAACGCUAGCUACAGGCUUAACACAUGCAAGUCGCAGGGUAACAUGAGGAAAGCUUGCUUUCCUUGAUGACGACUGGCGCACGGGUGAGUAACGCGUAUCCAACCUUCCCAUAACUACGGGAUAACCCGUUGAAAGACGGCCUAAUACCGUAUGAUAUCGUUUGCUGACAUCAAAUAACGAUUAAAGGUUUAGCGGUUAUGGAUGGGGAUGCGUCUGAUUAGCUUGUUGGCGGGGUAACGGCCCACCAAGGCGACGAUCAGUAGGGG